AUGGCGGUGCCGAUUGGGUCGCUGCUGCCUCCAGCGAGCCGCCACAGUAGACCAGCCACCGCACUGCCGCUCCAAUCCGACAAGGCCGACGUCAGGGUUGACCUCCAUGACAGAUCUGCACAAAAGGUCCUAAUGAUGGCUCUGCGGAGCAACGACGCGAGUAGCAGUAUGCACAGUCUUCCCGACAGGGAGAGCAACGGUGUCGGUGGCGGCGACAGGAGAAAAGGGGAAGGAAAGGCGAUGGGAGCGCGAUGGAUCAGAGGCGGCUCACCUCGGGUUGUCCUCUUCCCGGAGGAGCACAAACUUGAGGACACGCUCCGGUGCUCCUCGCGUUGA
This 336-nucleotide ribosomal RNA is filed under the name Triticum aestivum (bread wheat). RNAcentral's name for it is "partial small subunit ribosomal RNA". The record is from RNAcentral. Lineage: Eukaryota; Viridiplantae; Streptophyta; Magnoliopsida; Poales; Poaceae.